UUCUCUUCCAUCGCAUUGUGAUGCCGUUGUCCGUGGCGUGGUCGUCAUCCGUUGCUUGAUGGUCGUCGUCCCUCUACGUUGUCGACGGGUGCUUUGCUAUGCUCUGUUCGUCCGCCAUUAGUGGAUCCAUUGCCUCGCCUCGCCGCGCCGCACCUCUGUCUCGCCCUUGCUGUCUAAUCUAGCUCUGCAACAAGAGUGAUAGGAGAUUUGGAUUUCUUCAUAGACCUACAUCAUGGUGAAGCUCCAUUAGGUGUAGAAC
Arachis duranensis is the source of this 259-nucleotide long non-coding RNA. RefSeq lists it as uncharacterized. The transcript is spliced from 3 exons. The record is from RefSeq and is a predicted model, not a curated record. Lineage: Eukaryota; Viridiplantae; Streptophyta; Magnoliopsida; Fabales; Fabaceae.